Molecule: small nucleolar RNA, 65 nt
Organism: Fukomys damarensis (Damara mole-rat)
Lineage: Eukaryota; Metazoa; Chordata; Mammalia; Rodentia; Bathyergidae
Source: Ensembl
UUUCCAUGAUGAAUUAAACUAGCUCACUAUGACUGGAAAUGAAAACACACGAACACCUGAGAAAC